CAGUAGCCGCGGUAAUACGAAGGGUGCAAGCGUUAAUCGGAAUUACUGGGCGUAAAGCGUGCGUAGGCGGUGAGUUAAGUCUGCUGUGAAAUCCCCGGGCUCAACCUGGGAAUGGCAGUGGAUACUGGCUCGCUAGAGUGUGUCAGAGGAUGGUGGAAUUCCCGGUGUAGCGGUGAAAUGCGUAGAGAUCGGGAGGAACAUCAGUGGCGAAGGCGGCCAUCUGGGACAACACUGACGCUGAGGCACGAAAGCGUGGGGAGCAAACAGGAUUAGAUACCCCUGUAGUCCUGUCUCUUAUACA
RNAcentral lists this ribosomal RNA (301 nucleotides) under uncultured bacterium. RNAcentral's name for it is "partial 16S ribosomal RNA". It matches the Rfam family "Bacterial small subunit ribosomal RNA", at positions 509 to 809 of the family's 1533-position model. The record is from RNAcentral.